RNAcentral lists this unclassified non-coding RNA (311 nucleotides) under uncultured fungus. RNAcentral's name for it is "partial contains 5.8S ribosomal RNA and internal transcribed spacer 2". The stretch from base 1 to 133 matches the Rfam family "5.8S ribosomal RNA", at positions 22 to 154 of the family's 154-position model. The record is from RNAcentral. Lineage: Eukaryota; Fungi.
UGGUUCUGGCAUCGAUGAAGAACGCAGCGAAAUGCGAUAAGUAAUGUGAAAUGCAGAAUUCAGUGAAUCAUCGAAUCUUUGAACGCACAUUGCGCCCUCUGGUAUUCCGGGGGGCAUGCCUGCUCGAGCGUCAUUACAACCCUCAAGCUCUGCUUGGUAUUGGGCGUCACUGCUUUGGUGCACCCUAAAAUCAGUGGCGGUGUCACCUGGCUCCUAGCGUAGUAUACUUCUCGCUACUGAGCUUGGGUGUAUGCUUGCCAUAACCCCUAAUUUCAAAGGUUGACCUCGGAUCAGGUAGGGAUACCCGCCGA